GAUGAACGCUGGCGGCGUGCCUAAUACAUGCAAGUCGAGCGAACGGACGAGAAGCUUGCUUCUCUGAUGUUAGCGGCGGACGGGUGAGUAACACGUGGAUAACCUACCUAUAAGACUGGGAUAACUUCGGGAAACCGGAGCUAAUACCGGAUGAUAUUUUGAACCGCAUGGUUCAAAAGUGAAAGACGGUCUUGCUGUCACUUAUAGAUGGAUCCGCGCUGCAUUAGCUAGUUGGUAAGGUAACGGCUUACCAAGGCAACGAUGCAUAGCCGACCUGAGAGGUGGAUCGGCCACACUGGAACGGAGACCCGGUCAGGACUCCUACGGGAGGCAGCGUUAGGGAAUCUUCCGCAAUGGGCGAAAGCCGGACGGGGCAACGCGGCGUGAGUAAUGAAGGUCUUCGGAUCGUAAAACUCUGUUAUUAGGGAAGAACAAAUGUGUAAGUAACUGUGAACAUCUUGACGGUACCUAAUCAGAAAGCCACGGCUAACUACGU
RNAcentral lists this ribosomal RNA (496 nucleotides) under uncultured bacterium. RNAcentral's name for it is "partial 16S ribosomal RNA". It matches the Rfam family "Bacterial small subunit ribosomal RNA", at positions 28 to 506 of the family's 1533-position model. The record is from RNAcentral.